CGGCGGCGUACACGCCCGGGUCGGGC
RNAcentral lists this non-coding RNA (26 nucleotides) under Cricetulus griseus (Chinese hamster). The record is from RNAcentral. Lineage: Eukaryota; Metazoa; Chordata; Mammalia; Rodentia; Cricetidae.